GAUGAACGCUAGCGGCAGGCCUAACACAUGCAAGUCGAACGGUAACAUGAGAGCUUGCUCUUGAUGACGAGUGGCGCACGGGUGCGUAACGCGUAUACAAUCUACCUUUUACUGGGAGAUAGCCUUUAGAAAUGAAGAUUAAUAUCCCAUAGUAUAAUGAUAUGGCAUCAUAUUAUUAUUAAAGUUUCAGCGGUAAAAGAUGAGUAUGCGUUCUAUUAGCUAGAUGGUGUGGUAACGGCACACCAUGGCAACGAUAGAUAGGGGCCCUGAGAGGGGGAUCCCCCACACUGGUACUGAGACACGGACCAGACUCCUACGGGAGGCAGCAGUGAGGAAUAUUGGACAAUGGGCGCAAGCCUGAUCCAGCCAUGCCGCGUGCAGGAAGACGGCCCUAUGGGUUGUAAACUGCUUUUAUACAGGAAGAAACACUCCCUCGUGAGGGAGCUUGACGGUACCGUAAGAAUAAGGACCGGCUAACUCCGUGCCAGCAGCCGCGGUAAUACGGAGGGUCUGAGCGUUAUCCGGAAUCAUUGGGUUUAAAGGGUCC
Molecule: ribosomal RNA, 547 nt
Filed under: uncultured bacterium
Lineage: Bacteria
Description: bacterial SSU rRNA
Rfam family: Bacterial small subunit ribosomal RNA
Source: RNAcentral